ACACAACUGGGGAACCCGUGAGAGGAUGGGUAUAAUCCUUGAGCCUAAUUUCUUACCCCGGGAGUAGUUGUAACAGCUUGGUGUGCAUGACCGCAUGACGGUAAGCCUGAAAACUGUUCGCUGCACCCACUUGAACCAUUGGUUCAAGGUCGAAGUCUUCCACGAUUCUUUGGGGUGUGUC
Molecule: non-coding RNA, 181 nt
Filed under: Thiothrix sp.
Lineage: Bacteria; Pseudomonadati; Pseudomonadota; Gammaproteobacteria; Thiotrichales; Thiotrichaceae
Also listed under: 1 other name
Description: 6S RNA
Rfam family: 6S / SsrS RNA
About the family: E. coli 6S RNA was the first non coding RNA to be sequenced, but its function was unknown until recently. It consists of 184 nucleotides that fold into an extended hairpin structure with a large single-stranded internal bulge.
Source: RNAcentral